AUUGAACGCUGGCGGAAUGCUUUACACAUGCAAGUCGAACGGCAGCACGGGGGCAACCCUGGUGGCGAGUGGCGAACGGGUGAGUAAUACAUCGGAACGUGCCCAGUCGUGGGGGAUAACGUAGCGAAAGUUACGCUAAUACCGCAUACGAUCUACGGAUGAAAGCGGGGGACCGUAAGGCCUCGCGCGAUUGGAGCGGCCGAUGUCAGAUUAGGUAGUUGGUGGGGUAAAGGCUCACCAAGCCGGCGAUCUGUAGCUGGUCUGAGAGGACGACCAGCCACACUGGGACUGGGACACUGCCCAGACUCCUACGGGAGGCAGCAGUGGGGAAUUUUGGACAAUGGGCGCAAGCCUGAUCCAGCCAUUCCGCGUGCAGGACGAAGGCCUUCGGGUUGUAAACUGCUUUUGUACGGAACGAAGAGGCUCUGGUUAAUACCUGGACUGAUGACGGUACCAAUCGAAUAAGCACCGGCUAACUACGUGCCAGCCGCCGCGGUAA
Molecule: ribosomal RNA, 499 nt
Filed under: uncultured bacterium
Lineage: Bacteria
Description: partial 16S ribosomal RNA
Rfam family: Bacterial small subunit ribosomal RNA
Source: RNAcentral